RNAcentral lists this ribosomal RNA (497 nucleotides) under uncultured bacterium. RNAcentral describes it as "partial 16S ribosomal RNA". It matches the Rfam family "Bacterial small subunit ribosomal RNA", at positions 28 to 507 of the family's 1533-position model. The record is from RNAcentral.
GAUGAACGCUGGCGGCGUGCCUAAUACAUGCCAGUCGAGCGAACAGACGAGGAGCUUGCUCCUCUGACGUUAGCCGCGGACGGGUGAGUAACACGUGGAUAACCUACCUAUAAGCCUGGGAUAACUUCGGGAAACCGGAGCUAAUACCGGAUAAUAUAUUGAACCGUAUGGUUCAAUAGUGAAAGACGGUUUUGCUGUCACUUAUAGAUGGAUCCGCGCCGCAUUAGCUAGUUGGCAAGGUAACGGCCUACCAAGGCAACGAUGCGCAGCCGACCGGGGAGAGUGAUCGGCCACACGGGAACUGAGACGCGGACCUGGCGCCUAAGGGAGGCAGCAGUAUGGAAUCGGCCGCAGUGGGCGAGAGCCUUACGGAGCGAGGGCGCGUGAGUGAUGAAGGUCUUCGGUGCGGGAAACUGUGCUAUGAGUUAAGAACAAAUGUGGAAGGAACUGUACACGACGUGACGGUACCUAGUCAGAAAGCCACGGCUAACUACGUG